RNAcentral lists this ribosomal RNA (220 nucleotides) under uncultured bacterium. RNAcentral's name for it is "partial 16S ribosomal RNA". It matches the Rfam family "Bacterial small subunit ribosomal RNA", at positions 57 to 305 of the family's 1533-position model. The record is from RNAcentral.
GCAAGUCGAGCGCAUCCUUCGGGAUGAGCGGCGGACGGGUUAGUAACGCGUGGGAACGUGCCCUUCUCUACGGAAUAGCCUCGGGAAACUGAGAGUAAUACCGUAUACGCCCUUCGGGGGAAAGAUUUAUCGGAGAAGGAUCGGCCCGCGUUAGAUUAGAUAGUUGGUGGGGUAACGGCCUACCAAGUCUACGAUCUAUAGCUGGUUUUAGAGGAUGAUC